ACGGAGAAGGCUAUGUUGGCCGGGCGACGGUUGUCCCGGUUUAAGCGUGUAGGCUGGUUUUCCAGGCAAAUCCGGAAAAUCAAGGCUGAGGCGUGAUGACGAGGCACUACGGUGCUGAAGCAACAAAUGCCCUGCUUCCAGGAAAAGCCUCUAAGCAUCAGGUAACAUCAAAUCGUACCCCAAACCGACACAGGUGGUCAGGUAGAGAAUACCAAGGCGCUUGAGAGAACUCGGGUGAAGGAACUAGGCAAAAUGGUGCCGUAACUUCGGGAGAAGGCACGCUGAUAUGUAGGUGAAGUCCCUCGCGGAUGGAGCUGAAAUCAGUCGAAGAUACCAGCUGGCUGCAACUGUUUAUUAAAAACACAGCACUGUGCAAACACGAAAGUGGACGUAUACGGUGUGACGCCUGCCCGGUGC
This 417-nucleotide ribosomal RNA is filed under the name Escherichia coli. RNAcentral's name for it is "partial 23S ribosomal RNA". It matches the Rfam family "Bacterial large subunit ribosomal RNA", at positions 1472 to 1869 of the family's 2925-position model. Lineage: Bacteria; Pseudomonadati; Pseudomonadota; Gammaproteobacteria; Enterobacterales; Enterobacteriaceae. The record is from RNAcentral.